UGUGUUGUGGCUCAGUGGCAGAGCACUUGCCUAGCAUGUGUGAGGCACUGGGUUAGAUUCUCAGCGCAUAUAA
This 73-nucleotide transfer RNA is filed under the name Marmota monax (woodchuck). RNAcentral's name for it is "tRNA.Ala". The record is from RNAcentral. Lineage: Eukaryota; Metazoa; Chordata; Mammalia; Rodentia; Sciuridae.